UAGGGAAUCUUCGGCAAUGGGGGCAACCCUGACCGAACAACGCCGCGUGAGUGAAGAAGGUUUUCGGAUCGUAAAGCUCUGUUGUAAGUCAAGAACGGGUGUGAGAGUGGAAAGUUCACACUGUGACGGUAGCUUACCAGAAAGGGACGGCUAACUACGUGCCAGCAGCCGCGGUAAUACGUAGGUCCCGAGCGUUGUCCGGAUUUAUUGGGCGUAAAGCGAGCGCAGGCGGUUUGAUAAGUCUGAAGUUAAAGGCUGUGGCUCAACCAUAGUUCGCUUUGGAAACUGGCAAACUUGAGUGCAGAAGGGGAGAGUGGAAUUCCAUGUGUAGCGGUGAAAUGCGUAGAUAUAUGGAGGAACACCGGUGGCGAAAGCGGCUCUCUGGUCUGUAACUGACGCUGAGGCUCGAAAGCGUGGGGAGCGAACAGG
RNAcentral lists this ribosomal RNA (429 nucleotides) under bacterium. RNAcentral describes it as "partial 16S ribosomal RNA". It matches the Rfam family "Bacterial small subunit ribosomal RNA", at positions 355 to 776 of the family's 1533-position model. The record is from RNAcentral.